RNAcentral lists this ribosomal RNA (262 nucleotides) under uncultured bacterium. RNAcentral describes it as "partial 16S ribosomal RNA". It matches the Rfam family "Bacterial small subunit ribosomal RNA", at positions 793 to 1055 of the family's 1533-position model. The record is from RNAcentral.
GUCCACGCCCUAAACGAUGAUUACUCGACGUUGGCGAUACACUGAUCAGCGUCCAAGCGAAAGCAUUAAGUAAUCCACCUGGGAAGUACGUUCGCAAGAAUGAAACUCAAAGGAAUUGACGGGGGUCCGCACAAGCGGUGUAGCAUGUGGUUUAAUUCGAUGAUACGCGAGGAACCUUACCUGGGCUAGAAUGCAGUCUGACCGCUGGUGAAAGCCAGUUUUAUAGCAAUAUACAGAUUGUAAGGUGCUGCAUGGCCGUCGU